This 269-nucleotide ribosomal RNA is filed under the name uncultured prokaryote. RNAcentral's name for it is "partial 16S ribosomal RNA". It matches the Rfam family "Bacterial small subunit ribosomal RNA", at positions 524 to 792 of the family's 1533-position model. The record is from RNAcentral.
UACGUAGGUGGCAAGCGUUAUCCGGAAUUAUUGGGCGUAAAGAGCGCGCAGGUGGUUGAUUAAGUCUGAUGUGAAAGCCCACGGCUUAACCGUGGAGGGUCAUUGGAAACUGGUCGACUUGAGUGCAGAAGAGGGAAGUGGAAUUCCAUGUGUAGCGGUGAAAUGCGUAGAGAUAUGGAGGAACACCAGUGGCGAAGGCGGCUUCCUGGUCUGUAACCGACACUGAGGCGCGAAAGCGUGGGGAGCAAACAGGAUUAGAUACCCGCGUA